This 1671-nucleotide ribosomal RNA is filed under the name Salmonella enterica subsp. enterica serovar Enteritidis. Its description in RNAcentral is "partial 23S ribosomal RNA". It matches the Rfam family "Bacterial large subunit ribosomal RNA", at positions 1213 to 2861 of the family's 2925-position model. The record is from RNAcentral. Lineage: Bacteria; Pseudomonadati; Pseudomonadota; Gammaproteobacteria; Enterobacterales; Enterobacteriaceae.
CUUAUGCGUUGUUGGGUAGGGGAGCGUUCUGUAAGCCUGCGAAGGUGGCCUGUGAGGGUUGCUGGAGGUAUCAGAAGUGCGAAUGCUGACAUAAGUAACGAUAAAGCGGGUGAAAAGCCCGCUCGCCGGAAGACCAAGGGUUCCUGUCCAACGUUAAUCGGGGCAGGGUGAGUCGACCCCUAAGGCGAGGCCGAAAGGCGUAGUCGAUGGGAAACGGGUUAAUAUUCCCGUACUUGGUGUUACUGCGAAGGGGGGACGGAGAAGGCUAUGUUGGCCGGGCGACGGUUGUCCCGGUUUAAGCGUGUAGGUGUGUGUUCCAGGUAAAUCCGGUUCACUUUAACACUGAGGCGUGACGACGAGGCACUACGGUGCUGAAGCAACAAAUGCCCUGCUUCCAGGAAAAGCCUCUAAGCAUCAGGUAACAUCAAAUCGUACCCCAAACCGACACAGGUGGUCAGGUAGAGAAUACCAAGGCGCUUGAGAGAACUCGGGUGAAGGAACUAGGCAAAAUGGUGCCGUAACUUCGGGAGAAGGCACGCUGACACGUAGGUGAAGUGAUUUACUCAUGGAGCUGAAGUCAGUCGAAGAUACCAGCUGGCUGCAACUGUUUAUUAAAAACACAGCACUGUGCAAACACGAAAGUGGACGUAUACGGUGUGACGCCUGCCCGGUGCCGGAAGGUUAAUUGAUGGGGUCAGCGCAAGCGAAGCUCCUGAUCGAAGCCCCGGUAAACGGCGGCCGUAACUAUAACGGUCCUAAGGUAGCGAAAUUCCUUGUCGGGUAAGUUCCGACCUGCACGAAUGGCGUAAUGAUGGCCAGGCUGUCUCCACCCGAGACUCAGUGAAAUUGAACUCGCUGUGAAGAUGCAGUGUACCCGCGGCAAGACGGAAAGACCCCGUGAACCUUUACUAUAGCUUGACACUGAACAUUGAGCCUUGAUGUGUAGGAUAGGUGGGAGGCUUUGAAGUGUGGACGCCAGUCUGCAUGGAGCCGACCUUGAAAUACCACCCUUUAAUGUUUGAUGUUCUAACGUGGACCCGUUACCCGGGUUGCGGACAGUGUCUGGUGGGUAGUUUGACUGGGGCGGUCUCCUCCUAAAGAGUAACGGAGGAGCACGAAGGUUGGCUAAUCCUGGUCGGACAUCAGGAGGUUAGUGCAAUGGCAUAAGCCAGCUUGACUGCGAGCGUGACGGCGCGAGCAGGUGCGAAAGCAGGUCAUAGUGAUCCGGUGGUUCUGAAUGGAAGGGCCAUCGCUCAACGGAUAAAAGGUACUCCGGGGAUAACAGGCUGAUACCGCCCAAGAGUUCAUAUCGACGGCGGUGUUUGGCACCUCGAUGUCGGCUCAUCACAUCCUGGGGCUGAAGUAGGUCCCAAGGGUAUGGCUGUUCGCCAUUUAAAGUGGUACGCGAGCUGGGUUUAGAACGUCGUGAGACAGUUCGGUCCCUAUCUGCCGUGGGCGCUGGAGAACUGAGGGGGGCUGCUCCUAGUACGAGAGGACCGGAGUGGACGCAUCACUGGUGUUCGGGUUGUCAUGCCAAUGGCACUGCCCGGUAGCUAAAUGCGGAAGAGAUAAGUGCUGAAAGCAUCUAAGCACGAAACUUGCCCCGAGAUGAGUUCUCCCUGAGACUUAGAGUCUCCUGAAGGAACGUUGAAGACGACGACGUUGAUAGGC